CGCCCAGUCAUAAAAGCCCUGGGGAAUAAGGGGUGGGCAAGUUCUGGUGUCAGCCGCCGCUGUAAAACCAGCCCCUCAAGUGGUCAGGAUGAUUAUUGGGCCUAAAGCAUCCGUAGCCGGCUUUGUUAGUUUUCGGUUAAAUCCAUGUGCUCAACACAUGGGCUGCCGAAAAUACUGCAUGGCUAGGGAGUGGGAGAGGUAGACGGUACUCAGUAGGAAGGGGUAAAAUCCUUUGAUCUAUUGAUGACCACCUGUGGCGAAGGCGGUCUACCAGAACACGUUCGACGGUGAGGGAUGAAAGCUGGGGGAGCAAACCGGAUUAGAUACCCGGGUAGUCCCAGCUGUAAACGAUGCAGACUCGAUGAUGCAUUGGCAUAUAGCCAGUGCAGUGUCGCAGGGAAGCCGUUAAGUCUGCCGCCUGGGAAGUACGUACGCAAGUAUGAAAC
This 446-nucleotide ribosomal RNA is filed under the name uncultured marine group I thaumarchaeote. RNAcentral's name for it is "bacterial SSU rRNA". It matches the Rfam family "Archaeal small subunit ribosomal RNA", at positions 408 to 855 of the family's 1478-position model. The record is from RNAcentral. Lineage: Archaea; Thermoproteati; Nitrososphaerota.